AGUGAACGCUGGCGGUAGGUCUCACACAUGCAAGUCGAACGGCAGCACAGGAGAGCUCGCUCACUAGGUGGUGAGUGGCGGACGUGUGAGGAAUACAUCGGAAUCUGCCCAGUUGCGGGGGUCAACGUAGGGAAACUUACGCUAAUACUGCAUACGACUUACGGGUGCCUGAGGGGGAUCGCAAGACCUCUCGUGCUUGGCAGAGCCGGUGUCGGAUUAGCUAGUUAGCGGGGAAAUGGCCCACCAAGGCGACGAUCCGUAGCCGGUCUGAGAGGAUCAUCAGCCACACUGGAACUGAGACACGGUCCAGACUCCUACGGGAGGCAGCAGUGGGGAAUAUUGGACAAUGGGCGCAAGCCUGAUCCAGCCAUACCGCGUGGGUGAAGAAGGCCUUCGGGUUGUAAAGCCCUUUUGUUGGGAAAGAAAGCUUUCAGGCUAAUACCCUGGGGGGAUGGCGGUACCCAAAGAAUAAGCACCGGCUAACUUCGUG
Molecule: ribosomal RNA, 490 nt
Filed under: uncultured bacterium
Lineage: Bacteria
Description: partial 16S ribosomal RNA
Rfam family: Bacterial small subunit ribosomal RNA
Source: RNAcentral